AGACCAGAGUUUGAAUGUGUUCACUUUUACUGAUAUCGUUAAGCUUCUAUAUAGUUCAUCAGGAAAAAGAACGAAAACGGGAAACUUACAACAAGGAAUUAAAAUGUUUGCGCUCCGACUAACGAAACUGAUGUUACUGAAGCGCAGAAUGGCCAAAGGAAGCUGUCUCAAGAAUCAUCAUAAAUAUGGCGCAGAUAGACAAGAUGGAAUUAAUGAGAAUAAGACUCGUCGACAAAAAUCGAAGGAAUGACGAUCACAUAAAAAAUCUAUUAUUGCUACAAAUAUGCGAACAAUCACCGAUGUGCAUACCAAAAACCAAUUUCUGAUCUGCGUAACAGAGAACACAGUGAACCACGUCGAUUGAAGCAGAAUGACUUAAUCGGCCAAGUGUUAAGUAUUUUACUUUUCCCAACCUGUCGAUCAAUAGGCAACGCGUGCAACAAAUUGCAGGAAUUGUGCGUUUAGUUAAGAAAGUGCCGAAUGAACACAAUGAGCUAAAUGUAAGUCGAAAACUUAUUAAUGUAUAUCUUCAUAUUUAGACUGCAGAAAGAUUUAGCAAUUAAUAACUCUGUCAGAAAAAGCUUUCCAGUAUGGUAUGUAUAUCAUGAAUUGUUUAGUUCCUUUGCUAUGCUGAAAAAAAUGCCACAAGUUCAAGUGGUUUUUGUGUUCAGAUAUGGGCACCAAGUUUUUUUUACCCUAUGUUGUCCUCUCUUCUGCUUGAGUACGAUACCUGACUUGUGAUAGUUCAUCAUUGGUAGCCACUUUGGAAUUAACUCUAUAUUUACGCGUCCGGACAGUGAUUUUUUCUUAUAUUUUCAUUUGUAAUUGACACACAAAUAAGAUAUUACGCAAUACAAGCCAAUUAGGCAAAACAUAAAUUGGUAAUUAGUGUAUUUUUUUAAAAAAAGGUAUAUCUUAUUCAAGAAAAAUACCCUAAGC
Molecule: long non-coding RNA, 939 nt
Organism: Exaiptasia diaphana
Lineage: Eukaryota; Metazoa; Cnidaria; Anthozoa; Actiniaria; Aiptasiidae
Exons: 2
Source: RefSeq, a predicted model, not a curated record